UGUGAGUGUGUGAGAGAGUGUGUGUGUGUCAGUAACACACACUCAUGUACUGUGCUGGUUUUCUCUCUGUCGGUGGAACAGUUGCUGGGAUUUGACACAGUGGCCGUGACUCUGGAGCCGCUGGAGGGAGCGGAGACGUACGUGAACGGGAAGCAGAUCACCGAGUGUGUGUUGCUCAAACAGGGCAACCGCAUCGUGAUGGGCAAGAGCCACGUGUUUAGGUUCAAUCACCCGGAGCAGGCGC
This is a long non-coding RNA of Sinocyclocheilus grahami, 244 nucleotides long. RefSeq lists it as uncharacterized. The record is from RefSeq and is a predicted model, not a curated record. Lineage: Eukaryota; Metazoa; Chordata; Actinopteri; Cypriniformes; Cyprinidae. The transcript is spliced from 3 exons.